ACGGGUGAGUAAUACAUCGGAACGUGCCCGAGAGUGGGGGAUAACGAAGCGAAAGCUUUGCUAAUACCGCAUACGAUCUCAGGAUGAAAGCAGGGGACCGCAAGGCCUUGCGCUCACGGAGCGGCCGAUGGCAGAUUAGGUAGUUGGUGGGAUAAAAGCUUACCAAGCCGACGAUCUGUAGCUGGUCUGAGAGGACGACCAGCCACACUGGGACUGAGACACGGCCCAGACUCCUACGGGAGGCAGCAGUGGGGAAUUUUGGACAAUGGGCGCAAGCCUGAUCCAGCCAUGCCGCGUGCAGGAUGAAGGCCUUCGGGUUGUAAACUGCUUUUGUACGGAACGAAAAGACUCUGGUUAAUACCUGGGGUCCAUGACGGUACCGUAAGAAUAAGCACCGGCUAACUACGUGCCAGCAGCCGCGGUAAUACGUAGGGUGCGAGCGUUAAUCGGAAUUACUGGGCGUAAAGCGUGCGCAGGCGGUUAUGUAAGACAGAUGUGAAAUCCCCGGGCUCAACCUGGGAACUGCAUUUGUGACUGCAUAGCUAGAGUACGGCAGAGGGGGAUGGAAUUCCGCGUGUAGCAGUGAAAUGCGUA
This 594-nucleotide ribosomal RNA is filed under the name uncultured beta proteobacterium. RNAcentral describes it as "bacterial SSU rRNA". It matches the Rfam family "Bacterial small subunit ribosomal RNA", at positions 102 to 692 of the family's 1533-position model. The record is from RNAcentral. Lineage: Bacteria; Pseudomonadati; Pseudomonadota; Betaproteobacteria.